CAUUAAAACACCGGAUCUCGUACGAUCAUAGAAGUUAAACAACGUCGAGCCUGGUCAGUAGCUAGAUGGGUGACCGUUAGGGAAUACCGUGCGGUGUA
Acanthosepion pharaonis is the source of this 98-nucleotide non-coding RNA. The record is from the annotation of a GenBank genome assembly. Lineage: Eukaryota; Metazoa; Mollusca; Cephalopoda; Sepiida; Sepiidae.